UCUAUUUCUAUUGUCUAUCUGCAAAGAAGCUAACUGCAGUUGGGUACUUGUUUCAAAACAGGAGGAAGAAAAGAGCUGGCUUUGCUAACAAUUGUUGUAGCAGAAUCACAGUGACACUCAAAGUAUUUUGGCUUUGAAAGUUGUCCUUGUACAUUAAUUGACAUAUCUCCGAGAGAAUCAAAUCACAGCAUAUAACUGCAAACCUCUGUUU
Molecule: long non-coding RNA, 211 nt
Filed under: Homo sapiens (human)
Lineage: Eukaryota; Metazoa; Chordata; Mammalia; Primates; Hominidae
Description: HSALNT0050216
Source: RNAcentral